CCUACGGGUGGCAGCAGUGGGGAAUAUUCCACAAUGGAGGGAACUCUGAUGCAGCGACGCCGCGUGAGUGAAGAAGUACUUCGUUAUGUAAAGCUCUAUCAGCAGGGAAGAAAGUUACGGUACGUGAAAAAGAAGCUCAGGCUAAAGACGUGCCAGCAGCCGCGGUAAUACGUAGGGAGCAAGCGUUAUCCGGAUUUACUGGGUGGAAAGGGAGAGUAGGUGGCAGAGCAAGUCUGAAGUGAAAACCCAAAGCGCAAAUAUGGGAAUGCUUUAGAAACUGCUCAGCUAGAGUGCAGGAGAGGCAAGUGGAAUUCUUAGUGUGGCGGUGAAAUGCGUAGAUAUAAGGAGGAACACCAGUGGCGAAGGCGGCUUGCUGGACUGUAACUGACACUGAGGCUCGAAAGCGUGGGGAGCAAACAGGAUUAGAUACCCUUGUAGUC
This 440-nucleotide ribosomal RNA is filed under the name uncultured bacterium. Its description in RNAcentral is "partial 16S ribosomal RNA". It matches the Rfam family "Bacterial small subunit ribosomal RNA", at positions 338 to 795 of the family's 1533-position model. The record is from RNAcentral.